CAUUCCAAAUUGCAGCUGAAUCUCCCAACCUCUGGUAUCCAACAACAAAUAUCUGUUGGGUCCAGGAGAUCUCUGCAACUCAUAGUACUUCCUGCUACACUUUUAUCUGCGCCUUCUGAUGCAGAGAGGUUCAGUGGGUUGCCAAAUGUAAACAAUGAGGCAGUGGUAAAACUUAGACCACGACAUACAAAUUAGGGGUCUCUAGAUUUAGGCUGAUUCUACUAGGCCAAGAUUCAAAAGGAUGUUGAGUAGAUUAUAUGCGGCCCCAUGAUACAUCCAUGGGAAGUCUGAAAGCCAAUAGGAUUAAACUGAAAUGUAUCUGGAGAUAGGAAGUCAGUAGGAAACAGUUUGCCCUCCAGCAAAAAGUAGUCUAUCAGGUGCAGUAUGCUAUAAUUUAGCUAAUAAUGAUGUAAAAGCCCAGAAAAAGGAGAAAUGUCAUAAACAUGAUCAGAUAGUAUUAGGAAACACAGAGUCCAGGUGAAGACAGCUAUUAGCAGUGGGAAGGUAAAUGUAACUAGGCUUAGGUUUAGUUUCAUAUUAGCUCAAUGUUAAGAGCUCUGCUGUCCUAUAUGAUCCCAUGCAAAUGGCAGAAUUCCUGAAGAUUUGGAUUGUAAAAGCAAUUUUAAAACAAACCUCUGUUCAGGACAUCUUCUUUUGAUGUUGCUGAAUCAAAAGGAUAUAACGAAAUGAGAUUCCCUAAUUAAAACAGGCUUUAAGUUAUGAACUACUUUUCUUCUUUCAAAGAUUCAUAGAUUCAUAGAUAUUAGGGUCAGAAGGGACCCCAGCAGAUCAUCGAGUCCAACUCCCUGCCCCAGGCAGGAAAGAGCACUGGAGUCAUAUGACCCCAGCCAGGUGCUUGUCCAGUCUCCUCUUGAAGACCCCCAAGGUAGGGGAGAGCACCACCUCCCUCAGAAGCCUAUUCCAGAUUCUGGCAAUGCUUACCAUAAAGAAGUUCUUCCUGAUGUCUAACCUGAAUCUGUUCAUUAGCAAGUUGUGGCCUCUAUUUCUAGUUGCUCCAAGGGGUGCCCUGGUAAACAGGGCAUCUUCUAUCCUUUGUUGUCCCCCCAGAUGAAUUUGUAGAUGACCUCAAAAUCACCUCUCAGCCUUCUCUUGCAGAGGCUAAAGAGAAUCAGGUCCCUCAAUCUCUUGUAGGGCCUUGUCUUCAGGCCUCUUACCAUACGAGUGGCCCUCCUCUGAAUCCUUUCAAAGUUAUCCACAUCCCUCUUGAAGUACAGUGCCCAAGGUGGAAUGUUGCAAGUUGCUUAAAUUUUUCAUUGAGGAAAGGGAUAAAAGAAACCCUGUGUAUGUUUUGGUGAUGAAGAGUAGUAAGUCAGGAGAAAGCAGGAUUGGAAAUCAGUAGGUGAAACAUACACAAUGUUCACAGUUAUUCCUGUUGCUGAUUGCUAUGGAACAUGGGUUUUCACAUUAUGGUCAUGCUUGCACCACCUGCCUACCACUGAGGAAAUAAGCCACGCCCAUUCUCUCCUGCUCUGCAUGUGAUCAAGCCCAGCAAUUAGGCAGCAUCAGUGGCUUAGAGUGGUCCUGAUCAUGAGCCUCAGAGUUACUCUUAAUCUCUCCCAAGAGAAGUUUCAGGACUUUGCUGGACAUUCUGUAUGUCCUGGUAGAUUAACUCUGGUUUGUACCAUCCUCUCUCUAGCUCUUCCUCUAGACUCCAGCAAGUGAACCUUGAGUUGACUUACGUAGAGAAGUGAUGUUGAAGGAGGUACAGUAUGAAAUGAAAUGUGAUUAAAUAGGCAUAGAUAUGACAGUGUAUCAAGGAACAGAAUCAGAGUUUGAGUGAUUGCUGAGAGAGAAUUAAGGGAUCUUUGUGUUUUGUGCAAUAAUAAGCAGGAUAAAAUGUAAUUGUCAGGACAAAUGUAUCUUGCCUGUCCCAUGUAAUAAAAACUCAGGAAGAUUGUUCUCUGGAUUCCUAUUCACCUCCAAAUACAGUUUGUAGAUUAAGGUCAUUUACAUUUCAGAGUUUUUGGCCACAGCUCUACCUGUAGGCAAUGGGAACUACUGGUACUCAGCAUCUCUACAGUUAGGCCCUAAUGACUACUGCUAGACCUGCUAGUGGAGGUAGGUCAAGAGUGUGAGUCACCCAUCCUGUUUCAAACUGCAGAUAUGCUCUUUCUCAGUUCAUUGUGCUUGACUGCUUGGCUCUUUCAAGAGUAGGAGGGCCUUGGGAAAUUUUUGAUUUAUGUGUUGUUGCUAAGUGUGGAACAGUCAAACACACUGGCCAUGUCCAUAUGGUUGCCCUCCUGAUCCUGAGUUUACUGCUAACUAAAUAAGUGUUACCCACUAGCUGUCAUGGAGGCCCACCGGAGAUCAUGAAGUAAGCAGAGUAAAUGGCUCACAAGCAGACUAGAGAGGCAGUGUGGACCUAAGCUUUCCCUGCCAAGUACCACUCUUGGGCUCUCCCCAACCAGAAAGACUUGAGUAUGGCCUUGCUAUGCAUACUCAGGGUUGUUCCAAGCUGUCUGCUUAGUAUAAUUGCCUGUCUCUCGUGUGCUCAGUAGGUGCAAAUGGAAUUUGUUCUGUUGGUGGUGGACCUGUUGUUUUGUUGGCUGUCACGGCGGGGUCCUUCAGGAGGGCCGUGAUCUCCUCGAGGUCCCUCGCUCCGUGUCAAGACCGGCCCAAGGCACCCUCUUAUUCUCGCCUGCCACGUCUUGCUGCUCUACUUCCAGCCAUUACAGUUCCUCAAUGUAUGAGAACAUUCAUCUCUAAUUCAGCUGCCAACUGAGCCUUUCAGUUACUGGAUUGACAGUGAAGGCUCUAGCCACAAAGGGAAAGAAGUAUAUUGGAUGACACCACUCAGCAAACAAAAGUUGGGGAGACCAGAAGAAUAGAGAGUACUUCUCAGAGCAACCCUUGCUAGCACCAACAGCUUGUCCUACAGAAAAAGAAAGGAGCAUAAUGUGGUUUCAUUUUUCUCAAAUGUCAGUGAUAGCAACAACCUCCCAUUCCAGAGCCAGAAGGGAAGCAUAUUUAGGAACCAGUAAAUAGAAACCUAAUCAAGAAGGGAAGAUAAAACAAGGAAUAAUGGGAGAAGUCCUAGAAUAAGAGAAACAAGUCUGACUUCUGGCAGGAAAGAGAUGGGAUUGUGAAGUGAGAAGGAAGAGAAGUGUUAUUGGAGACUAGGGGCCUUUGUACAAACCACAAAAUUGGCCUUUAAAGCGGCUUAAAUGCCCCUUUGCACCGCUUUUAUGGCAUUGUGGUUUACAAUGUCAGCGGCAUAUUACUCUUUAAAUGAUUUCAGGAUGUAGCAAAAUAAAACACCUCUGAGGUGUUUUAGUUUGCUACCUAACAAUGUGCAGCAGCUACAGAGGGAAGCGCUGGGCCCUGUGCAGCUCAGGGGCUGUGCAGGCAGCCUGUGCAGGCAGCCCAUGCAGGCAGGCUCCACUGAAGAAAAAAAAAAGCAGCAAGCCUGAUCUUUUAAUUUUUUUUCCUUCCUGGAUUCUGCCUGCCUGCCUGAGCUGUGCUGGGGCCCAGUGCUUCCCUCCGCGGCUGUGGUGUCCCUGGGACCACCCAGGCCAGGUGCCUGCAGGCAGGUGCUGUCUGGGGGCCACCACUGCCCCAGCAGAAGGAAGAACCAGCCCCCCCGCAGCUCAGGGGCCGCUCAGCCUGCUGGCAGUUCAGGUCCCCAAAGAAGCGGGUAAGGAUUGGGCCUGACCCUUGUGUACAUGCCACAGGGGUUUACUUUGGUUUCAUUCUCCCUAAAUUGAAGCAGUGUUUUUAAAAACCCACUGCUUCAGUUUAGGGAGAAUGAAACCAAAGUAAACCCCCGUGGCACGUACAAGCAGCCUAGAAGCAGACAGUAGAUUAUAGCACCUUAAAGCAACAGAGAGAAGGAAAUGUAGAGAACAGAAUGGGUAAAUAAUGAAGCUAUGUGGACAACAGAAUUUCUAUUACUCAUAGGAUUGCAAGAUUUGGCUUUGUUCCAGAUUUUAAAAAUUCUCUGCAAAGGACAAUUCUGAAGAAAAAAAAAUAAGUUUGGAUCAAUCAAAGUGUUUUGUUUCAACAAAGUCUAAACUUUAAUGUUUUGCACCUUUAAAUGUGUAUUAUAAUAAUAAUGUAAAAUAGAAAAAUGAUCAAAAAGGUGUUUCAAAAUGCAAAAUUGAAAUAUUCAGUCUGAAAAAAACCAAAUGAGACCUUUCAUCAUUGACAGAAAUCCAUUUGGCAUCUUUCUUUUAAAAAGAAAUUACAGAGAAAUUGGCCUGGUGUCACACUGUAUUUUGAUUUUGAUGGAAACACAUUUCCCAAACAAACAGAGUUCUAUCAAAGUAUCUUUGGCAAGUUAUAAUAAAGAACAGAAAAAAGACAUGUAGUACAAUUCACGAUUAGAUCCUGAAUUGCAGCAAGGCUUCUACCUUGGCCAUGUGGCACAUUUGCAGUAAAGAGAACUCACCGUGCAAGUACCACACUGCUAACAGAGGUGUGGCCACGACCCCUCCCCAUGAUCUUGGAUGCCAGGGAACUCUCUGAGCUCACCAGCAUCUAGAAGGACCUAUGGUGAGAAGUUCUGCAUGUGCAGUGAGGGCUGUGAGCUCACCAGCUGACUGGUGCAGGGUCUGCUCAAAGCUGCAGAGCCCAAAGGUUGAGUGUAACUACUGUUCAUUCUUCCUUCCAUCCUUGCCUCCCCUCCCAAAUUCAACAGCAGGGGAAAAGAGGGGUUGAGUAGAGGCAGCGACACAGCUCCUGAGCUCCAGAGCUGCAUGAGAACUAUUAGAAUUAUUUAUCUAAAAUACUGCAGGGCUGUGGUGAGGACCAUGAAAUUUCUGUGACAAUUAGAGAGAAAUCGCAAGGCAAACUUUCAACCUGCAGGUAUAUUCAGUAUUUUUUCCAGAGCAAACAACCCAAGAGAAAUCUGUAUGAACAUCUGCUGUAAAUAUCGCCUAUGUGAGAUAGUGGAAAACAGAAUUGUCUGUGCCCAGCUGCUUCAUUCAUACUAACCUGUUUCUGACUAGCCAAAACCAAAGUAUUCCAGGAAAAAAUGCAAUAACCACGGGAAGUCCUCACAGUCUCCCACUACUGCCAAGCAUAAAACAUAUAGAGAGUAAUUCAUAGAUUCCUAAGUUCCAGGCUAAAGAAGAUCAUCUAGUCAACCUCCUAUAUAUUGCAGGCCAUUAAAUUUCACUCAAAAGAACUUGUGUUUGACUAAAUCACAUUCUCCAGAGAGGCAUCCAUCUUGAUUUGAAGACAUCAAGAGAUGGAGAAUCUACCACUUCCCUUCUGUUUGUUCUGAUGGUUAAUCGCCCUCACUGCUAAAAGUUUGUGCCAUUUCUAAUUUGAAUUUGUCUGGCUUCAACUUCCAGCCAUUGGUUCUUGUUAAGCCUGUCUAUGCUUGAAUAAAGAGCCCAAUAGUACUGGGUAUUUUCUUCCUGUGACGGUA
This is a long non-coding RNA of Alligator mississippiensis (American alligator), 5392 nucleotides long. RefSeq lists it as uncharacterized. Lineage: Eukaryota; Metazoa; Chordata; Crocodylia; Alligatoridae. The record is from RefSeq and is a predicted model, not a curated record. The transcript is spliced from 2 exons.